Molecule: ribosomal RNA, 254 nt
Filed under: uncultured bacterium
Lineage: Bacteria
Description: partial 16S ribosomal RNA
Rfam family: Bacterial small subunit ribosomal RNA
Source: RNAcentral
UACGGGGGGUGCAAGCGUUGUUCGGAUUUACUGGGCGUAAAGGGCGCGUAGGCGGCCACUGCAAGUCGACUGUGAAAUCUCCGGGCUUAACCCGGAAAGGUCAGCCGAUACUGCGGGGCUAGAGUGCAGAAGGGGCAACUGGAAUUCUCGGUGUAGCGGUGAAAUGCGUAGAUAUCGAGAGGAACACCUGCGGCGAAGGCGGGUUGCUGGGCUGACACUGACGCUGAGGCGCGAAAGCUAGGGGAGCGAACGGG